UGGCAAGUCGUGACAACGGACACCACUCCACUCUCUGUAACAAACUCCACGUGGCCCCGAACGGCCCACUGACACCACUACACUCCGUAACAAACUCCGCGUGGCCCCGAACGGCCCACUACCAGGCAGUUGCGGACGUCGCUGUCAAUUAGUUACGCUCUCCCAUCUAUAAAAGAGACCUCCAGAUACAUUUUUCUCUAAGCGAAAAAAUUAUAUCUUGAAACUCUGCUAAAAUCCCAUUUGAGUGCUCCAUUUCUGUUGAGGCAGAGUACUGACUUGAGCGUCGGAGGGUCUUGUCG
This 299-nucleotide long non-coding RNA is filed under the name Elaeis guineensis (African oil palm). Its description in RNAcentral is "long non-coding RNA (EGUI_LNC030152)". The record is from RNAcentral. Lineage: Eukaryota; Viridiplantae; Streptophyta; Magnoliopsida; Arecales; Arecaceae.